AGCACCUGACCCAGUGAGGGGACACGGGCCAGAGCUCUGGGGUGUUCCAUCAUCCCCAAGAGACAUAUGAGGAGUAGGAGGUUGCUUUGGUGCAGCUGCUUUGUGACAUCAUUGCAAAUUGAAACCUACUCAAGGAAGUGCAGCGGCCCAGAAAACUGAGAGAAGCAACCAGGGCAAAGACAGAGCUGGCUCAGUGGAGAUGAAAAAAGUGGAGGCUUAGAGAAGCUGAACCACGUUUCCCAGCCUCCACCAACUUCUUCAAACUGUGUGGCACCCUGUUCUCAGCACUGCGUGCCCAUCACCAUCUUAAUCAGAUCUCCACGAAGCCUUUGCAAGAUCAGGCCUGUGGACGUUCCCUCACAGAAGGGUCAUUAGGCCUUCACCUGACUCUCCACCCACUCCCUCCUCACCCACCCUUCACCCAGCUCUGCAAAACUCGGCCCUGGCUGCUCGCCAUCUUUUGAAAUGGUAGAGCAUGCAGAAGGUACAUGGUUAACUGAAGAAGGGACACUCUCUUCCGUUGCCGAGGCCGACAGCCAUGCUGACAUGGGACUUUACAGCUCUGUGGCUGUCUUGCAGUCUCAUACAUUCCUAUGAGUAACCCCUCAACCACGCUUCGGUCAGAGAGCUCACCUAAAUAUGAAAUCAUCAAUGAUGCUGGACCAAAGGGAGUCCAGGUAUCACCGAGAUGCCAAACAGAAGGGUACCUCCACAUUCAUGGUGGAGCACAUCAUCGACUCUUCACCAGCUACCUGCAUGUUAAGGAAGAUAUUAUCUGGAGUGCUCUACAUAUGGCAAACACCAAUGUGUGCUGAUUAUCGAGAUCAGCUGGACAAGCAGUGAGAACCCUGCUCAUUAGGCCACAAGAGUAAUCCCGAGGGGGUAAGAAAAAAAACCUCACCAGCCCCCUGAAAGUAUAGGCUAUUAUUAAUUCAUCUUUACCUUGUAGGAUGAAAUUCUGUGUCUGACUUGCUAUGUGCAAUCAGAGAAACCCUAAAACAGUGAGUAAAUUCUCGAGGCCUGAGACCACAUGGCACCUAGUGCGGUGUGCCCUGAAGGAGGUGGACCUGGGAGCCAAGUUCCCAUGCUCAUCUUGUUAGAUUCUGACGUUAUUAUAUUGUUACAGAAUGUAGUGACAUUAUUAUAUUAUUACAUUCUUUGAUCAAAAUGUUCACACUUCUCAAGGCUGAACACUAUAAUCAAAGCUGAAAAAAUGACCCAAAGCAGCUUUUAGAGUCUAUUGAUGAGUUUGAUCGGGGCAGGCCAUAUUCCAAGGGCUGCUUAACAUAGGUAUGAAGUCAAGGACAGGAAAGGUAUGGGGAGUCCACUUGAAGCAUACAAAGAAACGGGAGUGAGCCGUUCCAACUAGGAUCCAUGCUAUUACUGUCUGAACUCUGCAUGCUGACAGUUUUCAGAGAGCAGAAGCCCUGAAUUUUACAAAGUGCCUAUGAAAUUCUUAUUAUUUUUUUAAAACCUUCUCCCUUCUCUCCUGUUGACUACUUGGGAUUUUCCUGCAUGUUACACAUUGUUUCCCAAAUCAAGGAUUCCAGCAGAGUUAUGAUGUCACUCUUCAUCACUCACCAGGCUAAGAAACAAUCCAAAAAUAAGAAAAACGAACAAAUGAACGAAAGUCCUAAAUUGGGUACUGCCAAGAGCUCAGCUGAAUGAAUCCUUGCUGGCGACAGAUAUAUCCUUAGGAAUGGUCUCUUGCAGAUAAUUGCUGAGAAGGCUUACGGUUUACUGACCUGCUGGGGUGCACGGAGAAUUAUUGACUCAGACCUAAUUAAAUUGUUGCCUGCUGCUUUUUUGAAAUUCUGCCAGGGAAUCCUUGCUGUCCUUAGCAGAGUCUUUCAGUUGGAGGCUGUGGCUGAACUGUACCAAGGGCGUUUUAUGGCAAGAAAGGAAACUCAAGUGUAAAUAUGGAAAAGCAAAUAUUGUAGAUUUGUUUAUCUGUUUAGACAGUAUCUCCAUGAAGCCGGUACUACGUAGCUUAACAUUCACUAUGGAGCCAAAGUAGCCCUUGAACUCCCAGAGAUCUUCCUACCUCUUUCUCCCAGGUGAUGACAUUAAAUGUAUAAGCCACCAUACCCUGCAUCUCCCUAUUUCUUUCACUUUUUUUUUCUUUUUUUUCUAUAGCUAUACAGGAAUGCAAGCUUGACUGAAAAUUUUCUUCAGUAUUUUAAUCUGCAGUUGAUCAUCACGGCCAGUAGAUGGUGCUUGUGUCCCUACAAGGAAAAUUCUGGGCAGCAUUAAAUACGAGAAAUUUUUAGAAAUCUGGGAAUUUAAUGAAUCUCCAACUGAACCCAGUAGAGAAAUUAAGAAUAGUUAUUUCUUGAAACAAUUUUAUGACACCAGAAAAAAUAUCUCCACAAGUUCCUCUUUCUUCACAGGAAAACACAAUGCCUGAUGUCUGUCUAAACAUCCCACAUUUGAACUCUAAAUUUAUAUUUAAUAUCAUGGACAUGUGGUUUCAGUAAGGACACUGUGGAUGAUGCCCAGCUCAGACACAGAACUUGGAGGCUUUGAGCUGGAUCUAAUCUGAAGGCUGGCUUUCAGAGUCCUGGAAGGUAUAUUGCAAACUGCUAAGGCAAGCAGACAGCCAAUAAUCCUACACAGCUGUUACUGACACCCACGAACCGCAACAGUGACCAGCACAGCAAGAUGUCCCUACAGCUCAUGGAACAACAGUGUGCAUGUUCCUCAAAGAUCUCAAAAUAGAUCUACUAUAUUAUCCAGCUAUACCACUCUUGGGUGUAUACCCAAGGACUGUAUGUUCUACUACAGCGAGUCUGCUACCUGCUCAUUCAUAUUCAUGGUUGCUCUAUGUAUAAUGGCCAGUAAAUGGAAGCAGCCAAGAUGUCCAUAAUAAAAUGUGGUCUAUUUA
This is a long non-coding RNA of Mus musculus (house mouse), 2884 nucleotides long. RefSeq annotates it as predicted gene, 35520. Lineage: Eukaryota; Metazoa; Chordata; Mammalia; Rodentia; Muridae. The transcript has 4 exons. The record is from RefSeq and is a predicted model, not a curated record.